Molecule: ribosomal RNA, 301 nt
Filed under: uncultured bacterium
Lineage: Bacteria
Description: partial 16S ribosomal RNA
Rfam family: Bacterial small subunit ribosomal RNA
Source: RNAcentral
CAGCCGCCGCGGUAAUACGAGGGGGGCAAGCGUUGUUCGGAAUUAUUGGGCGUAAAGGGCGCGUAGGCGGUUUGGCAAGUUUGGUGUGAAAUCUUCGGGCUCAACUCGAAGUCUGCACCGAAAACUGCCGGGCUUGAGUAUGGGAGAGGUGAGUGGAAUUUCCGGUGUAGCGGUGAAAUGCGUAGAGAUCUGGAGGAAUACCGAUGGCGAAGGCAGCCAUCUGGCCUAAUACUGACGCUGAGGUACGAAAGCAUGGGGAGCAAACAGGAUUAGAUACCCCAGUAGUCCCUGUCUCUUAUAA